RNAcentral lists this ribosomal RNA (297 nucleotides) under Triticum aestivum (bread wheat). RNAcentral describes it as "partial small subunit ribosomal RNA". Lineage: Eukaryota; Viridiplantae; Streptophyta; Magnoliopsida; Poales; Poaceae. The record is from RNAcentral.
AUGAGGAGGACUACCUCCGCCUCCUCCAUAAACGGCGCCAUCUGUUCCCCUGCAACGAAUCCCGUCAAAAUCCUCGAGCUGGAGGUGACGCAGGUAGCAGAGGAGUUGACAAUGGUGAGCAUGAGACAUGGCAAUGCCCACAACGCCAUUGCAAAGGUGUGCGAGGCACUCGAGUCGCUCUGUCUCAAGGUGAUCUCGACAAGCAUCACUGCCGUGGCUAGUGGCAUCAUCCAUAACAUGUUCAUUGAGGGAUGUCACCACGUGAAUGGCAUCAAGUGUAUGUUGGAUUCCCAAUGA